UUAGAAAUACGGCUGCCAUGUUUUGA
This 26-nucleotide non-coding RNA is filed under the name Homo sapiens (human). Lineage: Eukaryota; Metazoa; Chordata; Mammalia; Primates; Hominidae. The record is from RNAcentral.